GUCGAGGUCCGGCGCGGCGACCGCCUCCAGCCGCGGGUGUGGGAGCAGCUGCCGGCCGGCCCCCCAGCCGCGGUGGAGUCGCGAGCGGCGGCGGGCUAGGGGCUCCCGCCCGCUCCCCUCUUUCCGGAAGACCGCUCUGGCGGGACCCGGUGCAGGCGCACCGCGGAGAGCGGGCUGGAGACCGCGCGCGUCCGUCGGCCUGCUUCUUAAGCGCUUCGGCCGCUUGGCUUCUCCGUCUCAGGACGCCCAUCUGGGCCAGGUGGAGACGUGGCCGGGCCGCCUGCACUUCCGAGCCCUCCAGGACCAAAUCUUUGUCCUCUGUUGAGUGAUUUCAGUCAUUCCACAGAUUCUGUGUCUCCUAGGUGCCGGGGCUGUUCUAGGCAGGUCAUAAGGAUGUUCUUGGUAGAUUUAAGGACCGCCUUAAUGUAUUUUGCAUUUAGAUGGUAAGCGAUGAAAGGAGCUGUUUUUCGCUGUAAAACACUUGACAGUCUGCCUCUCCCUGUUCUCCGCUCUGCACCCUGGUAGCCGAAGUGGCAAGCUCCUAUCCCUUUCUCUGGGACGGCAGCUUGAGACAUUCUCCUUGUUUCUUCCCUGUGUUCUCACUUUGUCUUAGUUCCGGAGCCCUGGCUCUCUCUGGAGUGGGUCUGCUACCCUCCCCCUUGCCCCAGAUGCCUGUGACGCUGUCAUUUCUCUCUUGUUAGUGGCGAUGCCCGGUGUGUUCAGAGUCCCUGACCCUGCUGCCCUUACCCUGGCAGGUCCUUUCCUCUGGUUCCAGAUGACAUUGAGGAAAGGCAGAGAAAGGCAUUUGAGUAUUUAAGGCUGCCGGGUUGAAUGGACAUUACCCAGAGGCGCUAAACGUUGUGAAAUGAUCCUGAUGCAUGUCUGGUAGUGGCGUAGUGGUCUCUACUCCUCGGCUUUAGUAUAAGGCCAAUUUCCACGAUUUCUGCAUGUCCCUCCUCUCUCAGUCACUCCUCUCCGUCUGGGUCCCUCUUCGGUCUCUCGUGUCCUCUGACCCUUGUGGAUUGAGUCGAGCCAUCUCCCUGCCUCUCAGUGCCAAGUGGCAUUCCCCCCUUUUUCUUCUGACGGGAAAUGACCUGGUUUCGGUUGUGAUCUUCUCCGCAGUUAGGCUGUCUUGUGUCUCUAGCGAUUACAACACUGUCUCUUAGCUGCUGUGAUGUGAAGGGGUGAAUCAACUGGAAUAUUUGCAGUGGUACUUUCCUGAGCUAAACAGACUGCAGCAUUUCCCAAGGCAAGUGGGCCGUCGGCCAUUCUGCAUUUGAGUCUUCAUCCUGUUUUCUAUACUUGGCUUCUGUUAGGGCUUGGGCAGAGGAUGGGAGGAACAGUGGUUGAAGGAGCAGGAGAAAAAGCAGUGUUGUGAGGUGGAGUAACAUCCUCCUUCUAAGACCAACAUUAAUGUUACAGGUAACCAAACAUAGCAUAUCAUUCAUUCAGUUCUAUUUUCAGCUGUUAUAUUAUUUUGAAUGUCCAAGUCUUUUCAGUUCAGUUCAGUUGCUCAGUCGUGUCUGACUCUUUGCAACCCCA
RNAcentral lists this long non-coding RNA (1542 nucleotides) under Capra hircus (goat). RNAcentral describes it as "lncRNA (ENSCHIG00010021611.1)". Lineage: Eukaryota; Metazoa; Chordata; Mammalia; Artiodactyla; Bovidae. The record is from RNAcentral.